UUCUUUAUUCCAAAGACAGCAGGCGCAUUUGCUUAAUGGGUUUUGGCCCAGCCUGCCGAGGAUAGAGGCGAUACGCAUUGUUAUGAUGAUGUAUUUAUGCCCUUUCCGCGGUCAUGCGGGAAGGGCUUUUUCAUUUU
This 137-nucleotide small RNA is filed under the name uncultured Caproiciproducens sp. RNAcentral describes it as "Ribosomal protein L10 leader". It matches the Rfam family "Ribosomal protein L10 leader", at positions 13 to 134 of the family's 138-position model. Rfam says of the family: This family is a putative r-protein leader autoregulatory structure found in B. subtilis and other low-GC Gram-positive bacteria. The record is from RNAcentral. Lineage: Bacteria; Bacillati; Bacillota; Clostridia; Eubacteriales; Acutalibacteraceae.